ACCAGACUCCUACGGGAGGCAGCAGUGGGGAAUAUUGCACAAUGGGGGAAACCCUGAUGCAGCGACGCCGCGUGAGUGAAGAAGUAUUUCGGUACGUAAAGCUCUAUCAGCAGGGAAGAAAAAAAGUCCUUUGGACUUUGGACGGUACCUGACCAAGAAGCCCCGGCUAACUACGUGCCAGCAGCCGCGGUAAUACGUAGGGAGCGAGCGUUGUCCGGAUUUACUGGGUGUAAAGGGCGUGUAGCCGUGUUGACAAGUCAGAUGUGAAAUCCUGCGGCUUAACCGCAGAACUGCAUUUGAAACUGUUGAUCUUGAGUACUGGAGAGGCAGACGGAAUUCCUAGUGUAGCGGUGAAAUGCGUAGAUAUUAGGAGGAACACCAGUGGCGAAGGCGGUCUGCUGGACAGCAACUGACGGUGAGGCGCGAAAGCGUGGGGAGCAAACAGGAUUAGAUACCCGAGUAC
Molecule: ribosomal RNA, 463 nt
Filed under: uncultured bacterium
Lineage: Bacteria
Description: partial 16S ribosomal RNA
Rfam family: Bacterial small subunit ribosomal RNA
Source: RNAcentral